UACGUAGGGUCCGAGCGUUGUCCGGAAUUAUUGGGCGUAAAGGGCUCGUAGGCGGUUUGUCGCGUCGGGAGUGAAAACUCAGGGCUCAACCCUGAGCGUGCUUCCGAUACGGGCAGACUAGAGGUAUGCAGGGGAGAACGGAAUUCCUGGUAUAGCGGUGAAAUGCGCAGAUAUCAGGAGGAACACCGAUGGCGAAGGCGGUUCUCUGGGCAUUACCUGACGCUGAGGAGCGAAAGUGUGGGGAGCGAACAGG
This 253-nucleotide ribosomal RNA is filed under the name uncultured bacterium. RNAcentral's name for it is "partial 16S ribosomal RNA". It matches the Rfam family "Bacterial small subunit ribosomal RNA", at positions 524 to 776 of the family's 1533-position model. The record is from RNAcentral.